CACGUGCAGAAGCAUAGUGCAGAAGCGCCACCACUGGAGGACACUCACCGGCCGCAUCCAAAAGCAGUGCGGACCGCAACAUAAAACCCCCCCCAAAUAAGGGAUCUCCAACGAGAGUGACCUCCAAUUAGCCUACGGUGACAAGGAUACAGACUUGAUAAAGGGGUCUGCGUACCCCGAAACGCGUCGUCUUUGCU
Molecule: long non-coding RNA, 197 nt
Organism: Bufo gargarizans (Asiatic toad)
Lineage: Eukaryota; Metazoa; Chordata; Amphibia; Anura; Bufonidae
Exons: 3
Source: RefSeq, a predicted model, not a curated record